GACGAACGCUGGCGGCGUGCUUAACACAUGCAAGUCGAACGAUGAUCUCCCGCUUGCGGGGGUGAUUAGUGGCGAACGGGUGAGUAAUACGUGAGUAACCUGCCUUUGACUCUGGGUUAAGCCUGGGAAAGCGGGUCUAAUACUGGAUACUACUUCCUGCCGAAUGGUGGGGGGUGGAAAGGGCUUUACUGGUUUUGGAUGGGCUCACGGCCUAUCAGCUUGUUGGUGGAGUAAUGGCUCACCAAGGCGACGACGGGUAGCCGGCCAGUGAGGGUGAGCCGCGGUCCAGGGGCUUAGAGAAGGCCGCGGUUCCGACGGUGGGGAGCUGGGGGGAAUCCUGCUCGAGUGGCGGGGGCCUAAUGCAGCGACUCCUCGGGUGUGAUAACGCCUUUAGGGUUGUAAACCUCUUGCAGCAGGUAAGAAGCCACUAGUGACGGUACCUGCAGAAGAAGCACCGGCUAACUACGUG
This 469-nucleotide ribosomal RNA is filed under the name uncultured bacterium. RNAcentral describes it as "partial 16S ribosomal RNA". It matches the Rfam family "Bacterial small subunit ribosomal RNA", at positions 28 to 507 of the family's 1533-position model. The record is from RNAcentral.